AAACCAACAGGGAUUGCCCCAGUAACGGCGAGUGAAGCGGCAACAGCUCAAAUUUGAAAUCUGGCUCCUUCGGGGUCCGAGUUGUAAUUUGCAGAGGGUGCUUUGGCGUCGGCCGUGGUCUAAGUUCCUUGGAACAGGACGUCACAGAGGGUGAGAAUCCCGUACGUGGCCGCCGGCCUUCGCCGUGUAAAGCCCCUUCGACGAGUCGAGUUGUUUGGGAAUGCAGCUCUAAAUGGGAGAUAAAUUUCUUCUAAAGCUAAAUAUUGGCCAGAGACCGAUAGCGCACAAGUAGAGUGAUCGAAAGAUGAAAAGCACUUUGGAAAGAGAGUCAAAAAGCACGUGAAAUUGUUGAAAGGGAAGCGCUUGCAGCCAGACGUGCCCGCAGUUGCUCACCCGGGCGCUCGCCCGGGGCACUCUUCUGCGGGCAGGCCAGCAUCAGUUCGGGCGGUUGGAUAAAGGCCUCUGUCACGUACCGCCCCCUCGGGGGCGGCCUUAUAGGGGAGGCGCAACACGACCAGCCCGAACUGAGGACCGCGCAUCAUGCUAGGAUGCUGGCGUAAUGGCUGUAAGCGGC
Molecule: ribosomal RNA, 574 nt
Filed under: Pleosporales sp. OTU26 TS-2013
Lineage: Eukaryota; Fungi; Ascomycota; Dothideomycetes; Pleosporales
Description: eukaryotic LSU rRNA
Rfam family: Eukaryotic large subunit ribosomal RNA
Source: RNAcentral